UCAACACUUGUACAUAGUGCCAUUUACUUUGUGUUCUUCACUCUCGCGUUGUGUUUUGAUCGUUCGAAACUCAUUGCCAGAACGAAUGCAAAUUUCAUUUGGGAAGGAUCGGUGCCGGAAGAUGCAGCGAAAAUUAUGAAAUUAUAAUAGAAAAGUGGUUAAGUAAAUCGUGAAAGAUGUCAACGCAGGCGUAAAUGCAGUUUGUUUUGUUACUUGAUCUACGGCAAUUUCAUUACCAAAGCACCUGAUAACCGAUCAAAGAAGGUGAAUCAGGCUUACAGAGUCGCCGUUUAACUUCAAAUAUCUUCGUGAUCGGAAAACGCAUCAAACAGCAAGUGUUUUUCUUCCAACAGCACGCGCCAUCGGUGGAGCAAGCAGCCAACGUUUCGUUCGUCUAGCACGCACCAUCAAGAAUUGAAAUAUUCCCGAAUAGCUCUGUGAAUAAAAAACUGCACAUUUACUGUCCGAAUUUC
This is a long non-coding RNA of Anopheles arabiensis, 473 nucleotides long. RefSeq lists it as uncharacterized. The record is from RefSeq and is a predicted model, not a curated record. NCBI's taxonomy places the organism in Eukaryota, Metazoa, Arthropoda, Insecta, Diptera, Culicidae. The transcript is spliced from 3 exons.